GACGAACGCUGGCGGCGUGCUUAACACAUGCAAGUCGAGCGAGAAACUUCGGUUUCUAGCGGCGGACGGGUGAGUAACACGUGGGCAACCUGCCUCACAAUGGGGGAUAGCCUUCCGAAAGGAAGAUUAAUACCGCAUAACACAAAGGAAACGCAUGUUUCUUUUGCCAAAGAAUUUCGUUGUGAGAUGGGCCCGCGGCGCAUUAGCUUGUUGGUGAGGUAACGGCUCACCAAGGCGACGAUGCGUAGCCGACCUGAGAGGGUGAUCGGCAACAUUGGAACUGAGACACUGUCCAGACUCCUACGGGAGGCAGCAGUGGGGAAUAUUGCACGAUGGAGGAAACUCUGAUGCAGCAACGCCGCGUGAGUGAUGAAGGUCUUCGGAUUGUAAAGCUCUGUCUUCUGGGACGAUAAUGACGGUACCAGAGGAGGAAGCCACGGCUAACUACGUGCCAGCAGCCGCCGUAA
This 467-nucleotide ribosomal RNA is filed under the name uncultured bacterium. Its description in RNAcentral is "partial 16S ribosomal RNA". It matches the Rfam family "Bacterial small subunit ribosomal RNA", at positions 28 to 523 of the family's 1533-position model. The record is from RNAcentral.